UUUCCGUAGGUGAACCUGCGGAAGGAUCAUUCAUAAUAAAGUGUUUUAUGGCGCUUUUUAAAAAUCCAUAUCCACCUUGUGUGCAAUGUUAGAUCUCGUCAAUCUUGGCGAGAUUUUUAUACAUCAACUCAUUUUUUAACUAAUUUGUCUGAAAAAUAUUAUGAAUACUUAAUUCAAAAUACAACUUUCAACAACGGAUCUCUUGGCUCUC
RNAcentral lists this unclassified non-coding RNA (211 nucleotides) under plant metagenome. RNAcentral's name for it is "partial contains small subunit ribosomal RNA, internal transcribed spacer 1, and 5.8S ribosomal RNA". The record is from RNAcentral.